Molecule: ribosomal RNA, 373 nt
Filed under: uncultured Desulfobulbus sp.
Lineage: Bacteria; Pseudomonadati; Thermodesulfobacteriota; Desulfobulbia; Desulfobulbales; Desulfobulbaceae
Description: bacterial SSU rRNA
Rfam family: Bacterial small subunit ribosomal RNA
Source: RNAcentral
CUUCCAUCUGGAAGAAUCUGGAGACAGGUGCUGCAUGGCUGUCGUCAGCUCGUGUCGUGAGAUGUUGGGUUAAGUCCCGCAACGAGCGCAACCCUUGCCUUUAGUUGCCAGCAGUUCGGCUGGGCACUCUAAAGGGACUGCCGGUGUUAAACCGGAGGAAGGUGGGGAUGACGUCAAGUCCUCAUGGCCUUUAUGACCAGGGCUACACACGUACUACAAUGGCCGAUACAAAGGGCAGCGACACUGCGAGGUGAAGCCAAUCCCGUAAAAUCGGUCUCAGUCCGGAUUGGAGUCUGCAACUCGACUCCAUGAAGUUGGAAUCGCUAGUAAUCGUGGAUUCAGCAUGCCACGGUAGAAUACGUUCCCGGGCCUU